This 213-nucleotide long non-coding RNA is filed under the name Rattus norvegicus (Norway rat). RNAcentral describes it as "long non-coding RNA NONRATT031619". Lineage: Eukaryota; Metazoa; Chordata; Mammalia; Rodentia; Muridae. The record is from RNAcentral.
UGGAGACACACAGUUCUUCAUGCUGUUGACAUCGUGAAGGUUGUCAUUUUGUUUUCGUGUGCUGUCCAUUUCUUAGUGACGGAGCAUCUGGAGAAGACACUCUUGACUUCACCAAAAGACCUGUAGAUACACCUAACGUUGGAGGAUUGAAAAUGUUAUCUUAUGUUGUUCCUGGAACUGAAGAAGAGUGGAAAUAUUUUUAACACCAUCAAA